This 298-nucleotide long non-coding RNA is filed under the name Capsicum annuum. Its description in RNAcentral is "long non-coding RNA (CANN_LNC020310)". Lineage: Eukaryota; Viridiplantae; Streptophyta; Magnoliopsida; Solanales; Solanaceae. The record is from RNAcentral.
UUUCUUUUGCGCCCUAGUCAAAGUUCGCAUUGGCCUAAUAUUUUGCUGCCAGCCAUGGUGCUUCUUUUGCUGCUUCUUAGUUUUCAGCAGAUCCUCAGCAACAGACUUCUCUUCACCAGGUCUUUCAGAACUCGUAGUCUUCAGCAGAUCCUCAGCAACAGACUCUUCUUCACCAGGUCUUUCAGAACUUUGAGUCUUCAGCAGAUCACCAGCAACAGACUCCUCUUCACCAGGCCUCUCGGAACUCUGAUGCACAACAGGAUCUUCCUUUGGUAAGUCUAAUUCGACUGAUGAGGAG